CCUACGGGUGGCAGCAGUGGGGAAUAUUGCACAAUGGGGGAAACCCUGAUGCAGCGACGCCGCGUGAGCGAAGAAGUAUUUCGGUAUGUAAAGCUCUAUCAGCAGGGAAGAAAAUGACGGUACCUGACUAAGAAGCCCCGGCUAACUACGUGCCAGCAGCCGCGGUAAUACGUAGGGGGCAAGCGUUAUCCGGAUUUACUGGGUGUAAAGGGAGCGUAGACGGCUUUGCAAGUCUGAAGUGAAAGCCCAGGGCUCAACCUUGGGACUGCUUUGGAAACUGUAAAGCUUGAGUACCGGAGGGGUAAGCGGAAUUCCUAGUGUAGCGGUGAAAUGCGUAGAUAUUAGGAGGAACACCAGUGGCGAAGGCGGCUUACUGGACGGUAACUGACGUUGAGGCUCGAAAGCGUGGGGAGCAAACAGGAUUAGAUACCCUUGUAGUC
Molecule: ribosomal RNA, 440 nt
Filed under: uncultured bacterium
Lineage: Bacteria
Description: partial 16S ribosomal RNA
Rfam family: Bacterial small subunit ribosomal RNA
Source: RNAcentral